UACGGGAGGCAGCAGUGGGGAAUAUUGCACAAUGGGCGCAAGCCUGAUGCAGCCAUGCCGCGUGUAUGAAAAAGGCCUUCGGGUUGUAAAGUACUUUCAGUCGUGAGGAAGGUGUUAAGGUUAAUAACCUUAGCAAUUGACGUUAGCGACAGAAGAAGCACCGGCUAACUCCGUGCCAGCAGCCGCGGUAAUACGGAGGGUGCGAGCGUUAAUCGGAAUUACUGGGCGUAAAGGGCACGCAGGCGGUUAAUUAAGUUGGAUGUGAAAUCCCCGGGCUUAACCUGGGAAUGGCAUUCAAGACUGGUUAGCUAGAGUCUUGUAGAGGGGGUAGAAUUCCAUGUGUAGCGGCGAAAUGCGUAGAGAUGUGGAGGAAUACCGGUGGCGAAGGCGGCCCCUGGGACAAAGACUGACGCUCAUGUGCGAAAGCGUGGGGAGCAAACAGGGAUUAGAUACC
This 454-nucleotide ribosomal RNA is filed under the name uncultured bacterium. Its description in RNAcentral is "bacterial SSU rRNA". It matches the Rfam family "Bacterial small subunit ribosomal RNA", at positions 340 to 786 of the family's 1533-position model. The record is from RNAcentral.